Molecule: ribosomal RNA, 497 nt
Filed under: uncultured bacterium
Lineage: Bacteria
Description: partial 16S ribosomal RNA
Rfam family: Bacterial small subunit ribosomal RNA (bases 60-497)
Source: RNAcentral
GGGGGGGGGGGGGGGGGGGGGGGGGGGGGGGGGGGGGGGGGGGGGGGGGGGGGGGGGGGGGGGCGGGCGUGAGGGGCGGGCGGGUGGGGGACACGUGGAUGACCGACCUGUAAGGCUGGGGGAGCGUCGGGAAACCGGAGCGAGUACCGGAGAAUAUAUUGAACCGCAGUGGUCAAUAGGGCACGCCGGUGUUGCUGUCACGUAUAGAUGGAUCCGCGCCGCAUUAGCUAGUUGGUAAGGUAACGGCUUACCAAGGCAACGAUGCGUAGCCGACCUGAGAGGGUGAUCGGCCACACUGGAACUGAGACACGGUCCAGACUCCUACGGGAGGCAGCAGUAGGGAAUCUUCCGCAAUGGGCGAAAGCCUGACGGAGCAACGCCGCGUGAGUGAUGAAGGUCUUCGGAUCGUAAAACUCUGUUAUUAGGGAAGAACAAAUGUGUAAGUAACUAUGCACGUCUUGACGGUACCUAAUCAGAAAGCCACGGCUAACUACGUG